UACGUAGGUGGCAAGCGCUACUCGGACUCACUCGGCGUAAAGCGCCGGUAGGCGGUUUGGUAAGUCUUUUGUGAAAGCUCCCGGCUUAACUGGGAGAGGUCAAGGGAAACUACUAGACUAGAGUGUGGUAGGGGAUACUGGAAUUCCUGGUGUAGCGGUGAAAUGCGUAGAUAUCAGGAGGAAUACCUAUGGCGAAAGCAGGUAUCUGGGCCAUCACUGACGCUGAGCUGCGAAAGCUAGGGGAGCAAACGGG
RNAcentral lists this ribosomal RNA (253 nucleotides) under uncultured bacterium. RNAcentral describes it as "partial 16S ribosomal RNA". It matches the Rfam family "Bacterial small subunit ribosomal RNA", at positions 524 to 776 of the family's 1533-position model. The record is from RNAcentral.